CGAGAACGAACCUUAUCCAGAUAAAUCGAUGAUUUAUAGAAUAAAAUUAAAAAUCAUAACUUUGAGGGGAAAAAUAGAUGUCGAUAACAACUAUAGCCAGUAAUAGCAGCACUAGCUUUCCCCGAUUCCGGGUUCAAUGCGCUGAUUCUAAGCCCAGGCGUGGUUUUGGCGCCAAAAAUGACCCCAACAACAACAAGACGAAGAAAGUUACUGCCUCGAGGGAGGAGAAGGGCAUGGCAUUGCAACAAAGGAAAUCGACUUCUAGACAAUCUGGCCCUUCACCUACUCAGGCACCUGGUUUAAGUUUUCGUAUUGAUGGAAAGCCUAAAUCCAUGGACCUUGAGUUUGAGGAACGUUUGGAAGCAGUUAGAAGGUCAGCACUUGAACAAAAAAAGGCAGAUGAAAUUAAAGAAUUUGGACCAAUUGACUAUGACGCACCAGUUGAAUCUGAUAAGAAGACAAUUGGACUUGGCACUAAGAUUGGGGUAGGAGUAGCUGUUCUGGUCUUUGGUCUAGUUUUUGCUCUUGGGGACUUUCUUCCUUCUGGAAGUGAUAGUCCCCCUGAAGAAGCUGCUACAGUUGACAAAAAGUUAUCAAAAGAGGAGAAAGCUAUUCUUCUGACUCAGUUGAAACAGUACGAGACAACACUAGCUGUCUCUCCUAAAGAUCCUGUUGCACUUGAAGGAGCUGCAGUAACCUUAUCAGAAUUGGGAAAGUAUACUCAGGCUGCCUCUUUGCUUCAGGACUUGGCAAAGGAGAAACCUAAUGACCCUGAUGUUUUUCGUUUGCUUGGAGAAGUUAAAUAUGAACUCAAAGAUUAUGAGGGAAGCGCUAAUGCAUACAGGAGUUCUGCAAUGGUCUCCAAAGAAGCCAAUUUUGAAGUUCUGCGUGGUCUUACCAAUGCAUUGCUUGCCGCUAAGAAACCCGAUGAGGCUGUUCAGGUCCUACUUACUUCUCGCGAACGCCUUAAUUCCAAAAAACCAAGUAAUAUGGAUGUUAAAGGUGAUAUAGAGGUGGUGGACCCUGUUCAAGUGAGUUGCCCUCUUGGUGGACUUGCUUCUGGGAAAGGCAUAUUCAGAUUGGGGACAUGUGAGUGAUGCUGUAUCUGUUUAUGAUCAGCUCAUCUCUAGCCACCCUACUGACUUUCGGGGUUACCUAGCUAAGGGGAUAAUAUUGAAAGAAAAUGGUAAUGUUGGGGAUGCAGAAAGGAUGUUUAUACAAGCUCGGUUUUUUGCACCAGAGAAGGCAAAGGCUCUUGUAGAUCGUUAUGCGAGAAGAUGAUGAAAAUUAUUUACUUUAUUCUCCCAUCUAAAAGCAUCAUUUGUAGAUUAAAGUCUGGCCACUGUUCAAUUCUGAAAAAGCUAGCAAGAAUGAGAAAUUAGUGCGACCAUGGCCUCUUAUCCAAGCUGUUUUCAUCUUACAAUACAAGGUCACUGGAGGAGGUUCUUUAGAAAUUGUCAAAAUUAAGAUUAUAACCUUACCUUUUUCGAUAAUUUUUUUUUUGACACCAUUUAGGAAAGUUGCAGUGUCUUUCAAAAUAAAUUUCUUUCAGGAAUAUAUAAAUCAUUCCGUGUAAAGUUUUAAAUCACUUUGCAAUUAGAUCUAAAUUUCAUAUUAAGCAACUAUGUAUGUAUGAAUUACUAUCUUA
Molecule: RNA transcript, 1648 nt
Organism: Jatropha curcas
Lineage: Eukaryota; Viridiplantae; Streptophyta; Magnoliopsida; Malpighiales; Euphorbiaceae
Gene name: Tetratricopeptide repeat (TPR)-like superfamily protein
Source: RefSeq, a predicted model, not a curated record